AGCUUGCUCUCGGGUGACGAGUGGCGGACGGGUGAGUAAUGUCUGGGAAACUGCCUGAUGGAGGGGGAUAACUACUGGAAACGGUAGCUAAUACCGCAUAAUGUCGCAAGACCAAAGAGGGGGACCUUCGGGCCUCUUGCCAUCAGAUGUGCCCAGAUGGGAUUAGCUAGUAGGUGGGGUAACGGCUCACCUAGGCGACGAUCCCUAGCUGGUCUGAGAGGAUGACCAGCCACACUGGAACUGAGACACGGUCCAGACUCCUACGGGAGGCAGCAGUGGGGAAUAUUGCACAAUGGGCGCAAGCCUGAUGCAGCCAUGCCGCGUGUAUGAAGAAGGCCUUCGGGUUGUAAAGUACUUUCAGCGGGGAGGAAGGUGUUGUGGUUAAUAACCACAGCAAUUGACGUUACCCGCAGAAGAAGCACCGGCUAACUCCGUGCCAGCAGCCGCGGUAAUACGGAGGGUGCAAGCGUUAAUCGGAAUUACUGGGCGUAAAGCGCACGCAGGCGGUCUGUCAAGUCGGAUGUGAAAUCCCCGGGCUCAACCUGGGAACUGCAUUCGAAACUGGCAGGCUGGAGUCUUGUAGAGGGGGGGUAGAAUUCCAGGUGUAGCGGUGAA
RNAcentral lists this ribosomal RNA (615 nucleotides) under Citrobacter sp. RNAcentral describes it as "bacterial SSU rRNA". It matches the Rfam family "Bacterial small subunit ribosomal RNA", at positions 77 to 685 of the family's 1533-position model. The record is from RNAcentral. Lineage: Bacteria; Pseudomonadati; Pseudomonadota; Gammaproteobacteria; Enterobacterales; Enterobacteriaceae.